This 663-nucleotide ribosomal RNA is filed under the name Sarcocystis capreolicanis. RNAcentral's name for it is "SSU rRNA". It matches the Rfam family "Eukaryotic small subunit ribosomal RNA", at positions 455 to 1077 of the family's 1831-position model. Lineage: Eukaryota; Apicomplexa; Conoidasida; Eucoccidiorida; Sarcocystidae. The record is from RNAcentral.
CUCAGGGAGGUAGUGACAAGAAAUAACAACACUGGAGAUUUUGUUUCUAGUGAUUGGAAUGAUGGGAGUUUAAACCCCUUUCAGAGUAACAAUUGGAGGGCAAGUCUGGUGCCAGCAGCCGCGGUAAUUCCAGCUCCAAUAGCGUAUAUUAAAGUUGUUGCAGUUAAAAAGCUCGUAGUUGGAUGUCUGCUGGAAGCAAUCAGUCCGUCCUAUUUGUAGGGUGUGCACUUGAUGAAUUCUGGCAUCUAUGUCCCAAUGAUGUAUUAUUGUAUGAUGUGGCGUAUAUAGGUUAAUCCUAUAUACUACACAUCUAUAAUAUUAUUGGGAUAAUACCGUUACUUUGAGAAAAUUAGAGUGUUUGAAGCAGGCUAAUUGUUGCCUUGAAUACUGCAGCAUGGAAUAACAAUAUAGGAUUUCGGUUCUAUUUUGUUGGUUUCUAGGACUGAAAUAAUGAUUAAUAGGGACAGUUGGGGGCAUUCGUAUUUAACUGUCAGAGGUGAAAUUCUUAGAUUUGUUAAAGACGAACUACUGCGAAAGCAUUUGCCAAAGAUGUUUUCAUUAAUCAAGAACGAAAGUUAGGGGCUCGAAGACGAUCAGAUACCGUCGUAGUCUUAACCAUAAACUAUGCCGACUAGAGAUAGGAAAAUGUCAUUUUUCUGACUU